UUGGCUUGUCCUGUAGAAAAUGUCAUUUGUGCACAUGAUUGAAUAUACAGUAUGAUGCUGUGAAGUGUCCUACUGUUCCGCCUGUGUUCGUCAAAUUGCGUCCAUGACAAAGAGAAGGACUCCUGGGCAAGGAGCAGCAGCUGGAUGUCCUGAAGACGUCUGCCCUCAACCACAUCCCCACAGGUAGGAGACCAACACAUUACCUGUCUGUCUUUCAUUAUGUGACUGAAUGUUGACCGUUGUCUUUAGAAUGUGUGUUUUUUAAGGUCUGUCUGUCACACAAAGCUAAGAGGAAAGCAAUCCGGCUUUCUUGGUGGAGAAACGUUAUGUGUAGUAAAACUGAUAAGAAUGCAGAAGUAAUUUCAUAAAAAAAACAUUUGCGGGGUGUGAUGUAUAGCUUCAGAUUAAACUAAAUCGUUUACAGUCAUGACUACUGGUUUCAAUUUAAUUUGCAGUAAAUACUUUAUGAAUUUAUUGUAACAAAUCAGCUUGCAAGGUUGCUAGCCAACUAGCCU
RNAcentral lists this long non-coding RNA (515 nucleotides) under Oncorhynchus kisutch (coho salmon). RNAcentral describes it as "lncRNA (ENSOKIG00005002765.1)". The record is from RNAcentral. Lineage: Eukaryota; Metazoa; Chordata; Actinopteri; Salmoniformes; Salmonidae.